GUUACCUUUUAUUCUGAUGAUUGUUAACGGAAUAAUUCUGCGGUGGGGAUCUUUUCAGUGUGUGACCCUGGUGAAUAGCAAAGCCCUGUUCGAAUUUUCCUUCUGUGUGUUGUUCAUAAUUCAAGUGACAAUGAGAAACUCUGGUCUCAGUGGGAUGGAAAUAGAGCCUGGAAGAAAUGGGAAACUUUAAUAUCUGGAUGGAUUCCUUAAACAGCAUCCCCCUGAAGUAAAAGCUUGAAAAAUAAAGUCCACCUGGGUGGUGACUGUCAAGACAGGCCCUGCCCCGUGGGCACUGGCUGAGGAAUUUGGUGUAUUCCACACAUGCCGGAGUUUCCAAGGAGGAAACGUGUUUGAAGUCCAAAGAACAAGGACGGCCUCUGCUUGCUAAUCAGGGGUUCUCAGGUGCAUCUCCG
Molecule: long non-coding RNA, 413 nt
Filed under: Homo sapiens (human)
Lineage: Eukaryota; Metazoa; Chordata; Mammalia; Primates; Hominidae
Description: HSALNT0116366
Source: RNAcentral